AGUGAACGCUGGCGGUAGGCCUAACACAUGCAAGUCGAACGGCAGCACAGUAAGAGCUUGCUCUUACGGGUGGCGAGUGGCGGACGGGUGAGGAAUACAUCGGAAUCUACUUUUUCGUGAGGGAUAACGUAGGGAAACUUACGCUAAUACCGCAUACGACCUACGGGUGAAAGCAGGGGAUCUUCGGACCUUGCGCGUUUGAAUGAGCCGAUGUCGGAUUAGCUAGUUGGCGGGGGAAAGGCCCACCAAGGCGACGAUCCGUAGCUGGUCUGAGAGGAUGAUCAGCCACACUGGAACUGAGACACGGUCCAGACUCCUACGGGAGGCAGCAGUGGGGAAUAUUGGACAAUGGGCGCAAGCCUGAUCCAGCCAUACCGCGUGGGUGAAGAAGGCCUUCGGGUUGUAAAGCCCUUUUGUUGGGAAAGAAAAGCAGCAGGUUAAUACCCCGCUGUUCUGACGGUACCCAAAGAAUAAGCACCGGCUAACUUCGUG
RNAcentral lists this ribosomal RNA (492 nucleotides) under uncultured bacterium. RNAcentral describes it as "partial 16S ribosomal RNA". It matches the Rfam family "Bacterial small subunit ribosomal RNA", at positions 29 to 507 of the family's 1533-position model. The record is from RNAcentral.